This 296-nucleotide long non-coding RNA is filed under the name Nicotiana benthamiana. RNAcentral describes it as "long non-coding RNA (NBEN_LNC031310)". Lineage: Eukaryota; Viridiplantae; Streptophyta; Magnoliopsida; Solanales; Solanaceae. The record is from RNAcentral.
UUUUUAGUGUGAAAUCACACGACUAAAUUCCAAUUAGGCCAAAAGAUCUUCAUGUGCCCGUUGACUUCGAGUUUGAAAGAGCUCGGGUUUGGGUUCGAAAUUCGAUCUAAGGUUUGAGGGGUUCUAGGAUGAUUCAAAGUAUAAGGUUCAGGGUUUUGGAAAGAGGGUGAUUUGGUGGUUCAGGGGUGUUAAUUUGGUGGUCACCGGAGUGGUUACCGCCGGGUUUAUGGCGAAGUGAAAGGGAGGCAGCUAUUAGGGUUUAGGGGUCGUCUGGUGAGGGGAUUAGGAGAGACAGG